GGAUGAGCCCGCGGCCUAUCAGCUUGUUGGUGGGGUAAUGGCCUACCAAGGCGACGACGGGUAGCCGGCCUGAGAGGGCGACCGGCCACACUGGGACUGAGACACGGCCCAGACUCCUACGGGAGGCAGCAGUGGGGAAUAUUGCACAAUGGGCGAAAGCCUGAUGCAGCGACGCCGCGUGAGGGAUGACGGCCUUCGGGUUGUAAACCUCUUUCAGCAGGGACGAAGCGCAAGUGACGGUACCUGCAGAAGAAGCACCGGCCAACUACGUGCCAGCAGCCGCGGCCG
This 288-nucleotide ribosomal RNA is filed under the name uncultured bacterium TA7. RNAcentral's name for it is "partial 16S ribosomal RNA". It matches the Rfam family "Bacterial small subunit ribosomal RNA", at positions 223 to 523 of the family's 1533-position model. The record is from RNAcentral.